Molecule: ribosomal RNA, 497 nt
Filed under: uncultured bacterium
Lineage: Bacteria
Description: partial 16S ribosomal RNA
Rfam family: Bacterial small subunit ribosomal RNA
Source: RNAcentral
GAUGAACGCUGGCGGCGUGCCUAAUACAUGCAAGUCGAGCGAACGGACGAGAAGCUUGCUUCUCUGAUGUUAGCGGCGGACGGGUGAGUAACACGUGGAUAACCUACCUAUAAGACUGGGAUAACUUCGGGAAACCGUAGCUAAUACCGGAUAAUAUUUUGAACCGCAUGGUUCAAAAGUGAAAGACGGUCUUGCUGUCACUUAUAGAUGGAUCCGCGCUGCAUUAGCUAGUUGGUAAGGUAACGGCUUACCAAGGCAACGAUGCAUAGCCGACCUGAGAGGGUGAUCGGCCACACUGGAACUGAGACACGGUCCAGACUCCUACGGGAGGCAGCAGUAGGGAAUCUUCCGCAAUGGGCGAAAGCAUGACGGAGCAACGCCGCGUGAGUGAUGAAGGUCUUCGGAUCGUAAAACUCUGUUAUUAGGGAAGAACAUAUGUGUAAGUAACUGUGCACAUCUUGACGGUACCUAAUCAGAAAGACACGGCUAACUACGUG